RNAcentral lists this ribosomal RNA (473 nucleotides) under uncultured bacterium. Its description in RNAcentral is "bacterial SSU rRNA". It matches the Rfam family "Bacterial small subunit ribosomal RNA", at positions 335 to 801 of the family's 1533-position model. The record is from RNAcentral.
ACUCCUACGGGAGGCAGCAGUGGGGAAUAUUGCACAAUGGGCGCAAGCCUGAUGCAGCCAUGCCGCGUGUAUGAAGAAGGCCUUCGGGUUGUAAAGUACUUUCAGCAGUGAGGAAGGUGUUGUCGUUAAUAGCGGCAUCAUUUGACGUUAGCUGCAGAAGAAGCACCGGCUAACUCCGUGCCAGCAGCCGCGGUAAUACGGAGGGUGCGAGCGUUAAUCGGAAUUACUGGGCGUAAAGCGCAUGCAGGUGGUUUGUUAAGUCAGAUGUGAAAGCCCGGGGCUCAACCUCGGAAUUGCAUUUGAAACUGGCAGACUAGAGUACUGUAGAGGGGGGUAGAAUUUCAGGUGUAGCGGUGAAAUGCGUAGAGAUCUGAAGGAAUACCGGUGGCGAAGGCGGCCCCCUGGACAGAUACUGACACUCAGAUGCGAAAGCGUGGGGAGCAAACAGGAUUAGAUACCCUGGUAGGAUAGCC